GGUUAAAUAUUCAAUUAUGAUAUGAGAUUGCAAAUCUCAAGGUGAAUUAUAUUCUUUAAUUU
This 62-nucleotide transfer RNA is filed under the name Oryzaephilus surinamensis (saw-toothed grain beetle). Its description in RNAcentral is "tRNA-Cys". Lineage: Eukaryota; Metazoa; Arthropoda; Insecta; Coleoptera; Silvanidae. The record is from RNAcentral.